Molecule: long non-coding RNA, 695 nt
Organism: Anopheles cruzii
Lineage: Eukaryota; Metazoa; Arthropoda; Insecta; Diptera; Culicidae
Exons: 4
Source: RefSeq, a predicted model, not a curated record
UAAGUACAGAUAAUGAUUUUUUUCGAAGGCACCCUUUCCUUCGGCGACUCUCCUUCGACAAGGAAAAUUUUUUUUCGGUAAAAUUGGUAAAAUCUAUUAGUCGCCACUGUCCUGAGCUCACAUAUCUACAUCUUGUUUUGAAAGAUCCGGAAGAAGGUUAUUUAGAGUCACUGGUGCAACUAACUAAGCUGAAGCAUCUCUCAUUAGAAGGAAUAGCGGAAAGAAAAAUGUUUCGUGGAGCUUUCAAACUACUCGAAUCAGUUGCAUUGGACGUGGUUCCACCUCGAGUUCUGCUAGAGAACCUUUCUGAAGUUGCGCCACGGUUGAAUUAUUUGAAACUCGAUAAGUGCGUCGACAGUUUGGAGGUACAAUUCAUCUGCGAGAGGUUUUCUUGUCUCCAACACUUACAAGUAGGAAUGAAAUGUUUGAGAGCAGCACACAAUUCUGUACGAUUUGAUAAGUUAGCAAAAUUGCAGGAACUUACAUUACGGAGAUAUGAUGGCAUUCGUUACAUUCAUAGCAGCAACGUUCGAUGCUUGACAAUGUUCAAUUGUGCGAUAGAGGACGAUAAACUUAAACAGAUACCGACAAAGUUCCCUUUGCUAAAGAGAUUAAGCAUCGAUAGCUGUUUCAACGUGUCUAUGAGUGGUGUCAAACGGCUACAUAAAUUGAUGCCCUCUUGCAGAAUCGACUAU